RNAcentral lists this transfer RNA (77 nucleotides) under Brevundimonas phage vB_BpoS-Kikimora. RNAcentral describes it as "tRNA-Met". It matches the Rfam family "tRNA". From Rfam's summary of the family: Transfer RNA (tRNA) molecules are approximately 80 nucleotides in length. Their secondary structure includes four short double-helical elements and three loops (D, anti-codon, and T loops). The record is from RNAcentral. Lineage: Duplodnaviria; Heunggongvirae; Uroviricota; Caudoviricetes; Jeanschmidtviridae.
CGCGGGGUAGCGCAGUCCAGUAGCGCGUCGGACUCAUAAUCCGAAGGUCGGAGGUGCGAAUCCUUCCCCCGCUCCCA